ACUAGAACUAGAGGUAGACUGCGUUUAGACUAGUAGUGCUCUGUAGACGUUUAGACUAGAACUAGAGGUAGACCGCGUUUAGACUAGUAGUGCUCUGUAGACGUUUAGACUAGAACUAGAGGUAGACCGCGUUUAGACUAGUAGUGCUCUGUAGACGUUUAGACUAGAACUAGAGGUAGACCGCGUUUAGACUAGUAGUGCUCUGUAGACGUUUAGACUAGAACUAGAGGUAGACCGCGUUUAGACUAGUAGUGCUCUGUAGACGUUUAGACUAGAACUAGAGGUAGACCGCGUUUAGACUAGUAGUGCUCUGUAGACGUUUAGACUAGAACUAGAGGUAGACCGCGUUUAGACUAGUAGUGCUCUGUAGACGUUUAGACUAGAACUAGAGGUAGACCGCGUUUAGACUAGUAGUGCUCUGUAGACGUUUAGACUAGAACUAGAGGUAGACCGCGUUUAGACUAGUAGUGCUCUGUAGACGUUUAGACUAGAACUAGAGGUAGACCGCGUUUAGACUAGAACUAGAGGUAGACUGCGUUUAGACUAGUAGUGCUCUGUAGACGUUUAGACUAGAACUAGAGGUAGACCGCGUUUAGACUAGUAGUGCUCUGUAGACGUUUAGACUAGAACUAGAGGUAGACCGCGUUUAGACUAGUAGUGCUCUGUAGACGUUUAGACUAGAACUAGAGGUAGACCGCGUUUAGACUAGUAGUGCUCUGUAGACGUUUAGACUAGAACUAGAGGUAGACCGCGUUUAGACUAGUAGUGCUCUGUAGACGUUUAGACUAGAACUAGAGGUAGACCGCGUUUAGACUAGUAGUGCUCUGUAGACGUUUAGACUAGAACUAGAGGUAGACCGCGUUUAGACUAGUAGUGCUCUGUAGACGUUUAGACUAGAACUAGAGGUAGACCGCGU
Molecule: long non-coding RNA, 916 nt
Organism: Mizuhopecten yessoensis (Yesso scallop)
Lineage: Eukaryota; Metazoa; Mollusca; Bivalvia; Pectinida; Pectinidae
Exons: 3
Source: RefSeq, a predicted model, not a curated record